UGUCCAAAAUCACCCCGGCAUGUCCAAAGUGCAGCCCUCCGGCAUUUGCAAGACUGCACAUCCAAACAUUCCCUGAAACAGCAAUGCUAGGGAAUGUUUGGAUGUGUAGUGAUGCAAGUGCAGGAGGGUUGCAUUUGGGCCGCUGCAACCCGCUUGUGUUGUGUGGACUGUUGUAUGUACCUCUUUUUCCAGCCCCAGGGUGACACUAUCACCCAUAUCUGGAUGCUCAAACUUUUCUCUUCCACAGGUCCUGCGAUGUAUCUUCCCAAGUGGCGUGGAUGUGAGGAGACACGACAUUUCACCUGAUGUUCCAUGGGUGACCCUACUGGUGAUGUGGACCUGACCCUCCGCCAUGUAGCAGACAACCCCCCUCAGGUCCUGCGAUGUAUCUUCCCAAGUGGCGUGGAUGUGAGGAGACACGACAUUUCACCUGAUGUUCCAUGGGUGACCCUACUGGUGAUGUGGACCUGACCCUCCGCCAUGUAGCAGACAACCCCCCUCAGGUCUUCCGGUGUAUCCUUCCUAAGUGGUGUGGAUGUGAAGAGACAGUUCCCUUGAUGUUCCCUGGGCAAUCUACUUACGUACAAUUCAAAUGCAUUACAAAUUUUAAUAAAAACCACAGGAAACUUCUAUUUUUAAAAGUUUAUUGAAGAAAAUUUUUUAAUAAAGUUUGAAAGUUAAUUAAAAC
Pseudophryne corroboree (corroboree frog) is the source of this 688-nucleotide long non-coding RNA. RefSeq lists it as uncharacterized. The transcript is spliced from 3 exons. NCBI's taxonomy places the organism in Eukaryota, Metazoa, Chordata, Amphibia, Anura, Myobatrachidae. The record is from RefSeq and is a predicted model, not a curated record.